This 484-nucleotide unclassified non-coding RNA is filed under the name Bombus terrestris (buff-tailed bumblebee). Its description in RNAcentral is "misc RNA ENSBTSG00005036165.1". The record is from RNAcentral. Lineage: Eukaryota; Metazoa; Arthropoda; Insecta; Hymenoptera; Apidae.
GCGAAACAAAAUUUAAUUGUUAAAACCGAUUCAUCGCCAAACCAUACUCACACCUGAUCGACUCCACAAAUCAAACAAGGUAGGAGAUUCGAAAUUGUACACCCUCCUCCUUUCUUUUUUAACUUUUAAUUGAACAAAGUUGUCUUUAAACGAAAGUAUCCGUCGGCAGCUAUAGUUGACAGAUAGAAGUAUCAAGUAAAUAACUCACAUAAAAUUUCAUUCGAACAUUUUGAAUUCACGACAAUUAUUCUCUGUAUCGACCAGUGAUCACGGUGUUUUCAAUCAUUGGAAACAUCUAUGGUUUUCGUUUUCCUUUUCCCACCGUUAGCAGAUUGCUCAUCCUUGGGUGAGGCCUACGAGGCCACACUGAUUGUCUACAGUGAACUCAGUCACCAAAUAAAAUAAUCAUUUACUCAUUUACGACUUUACUUGUUGCCAAGAACGAAUUAUAAUUCCAUGACGAAAUCAAGAAAGAAUAGAAAAG